UUCCGGUUGAUCCUGCCGGACCUGACUGCUAUCGGAUUGAUACUAAGCCAUGCGAGUCUUUGCAGUAAUGCAAGGCGGACUGCUCAGUAACACGUAGUCAACUUAACCUAUGGAUGGGUAUAACCUCGGGAAACUGAGAAUAAUUCCCAAUAGAUCAUUUAUCCUGGAAUGGUUAGUGAUUGAAAUGAUUCGUCGCCAUAGGAUAGGACUGCGGCCUAUCAGCUUGUUGGUGAGGUAAAGGCCCACCAAGGCUAUUACAGGUACGGGCUCUGAGAGGAGAAGCCCGGAGAUGGGUACUGAGACAAGGACCCAGGCCCUAUGGGGCGCAGCAGGCGAGAAAACUUUGCAAUGUGCGAAAGCACGACAAGGUUAAUCCGAGUGAUUUCUGCUAAAGAAAUCUUUUGCAAGUCAUAAAACCACUAGUGAAUAAGGGGUGGGCAAGUUCUGGUGUCAGCCGCCGCGGUAAAACCAGCACCUCAAGUGGUCAGGAGGAUUAUUGGGCCUAAAGCAUCCGUAGCCUGCUCUGUAAGUUUUCGGUUAAAUCCAUGUGCUCAACACAUGGGCUGCCGAAAAUACUGCAUAGCUAGGGAGUGGGAGAGGUAGACGGUACUCAGUAGGAAGGGGUAAAAUCCUUUGAUCUAUUGAUGACCACCUGUGGCGAAGGCGGUCUACCAGAACACGUUCGACGGUGAGGGAUGAAAGCUGGGGGAGCAAACCGGAUUAGAUACCCGGGUAGUCCCAGCUGUAAACGAUGCAGACUCGAUGAUGCAUUGGCAUAUAGCCAGUGCAGUGUCGCAGGGAAGCCGUUAAGUCUGCCGCCUGGGAAGUACGUACGCAAGUAUGAAACUUAAAGGAAUUGGCGGGGGAGCACCACAAGGGGUGAAGCCUGCGGUUCAAUUGGAUUCAACGCCGGG
This 914-nucleotide ribosomal RNA is filed under the name uncultured marine archaeon. Its description in RNAcentral is "bacterial SSU rRNA". It matches the Rfam family "Archaeal small subunit ribosomal RNA", at positions 1 to 922 of the family's 1478-position model. The record is from RNAcentral.